AUACGGCGGAUCCGAGCGUUAUCCGGAUUUAUUGGGUUUAAAGGGUGCGCAGGCGGGAGGUUAAGUCGGCGGUGAAAAUUUGGAGCUCAAAUGUGAAAAUGCCCUUGGUACUUGGUUCCUUGAGUGUGGAUGGAGUAGGUGGAAUUUUGGGGGGUGCGGUGAAAUGCUUAGAUAUCACGAGGAACUCCGAUUGCGCGGGCAGCUUACUAAACCACUACUGACGCUCAGGCACGAAGGCGUGGGGAUCAAACAGGAUUAGAUACCCUGGUAGUCCACGCAGUAAACGAUGAUUACUGGCUGUUUGCGAUACAAUGUAAGCGGCUGAGCGAAAGCGUUAAGUAAUCCACCUGGGGAGUACGUUCGCAAGAAUGAAACUUAAAGGAAUUGACGGGG
Molecule: ribosomal RNA, 393 nt
Filed under: uncultured bacterium
Lineage: Bacteria
Description: partial 16S ribosomal RNA
Rfam family: Bacterial small subunit ribosomal RNA
Source: RNAcentral